Molecule: transfer RNA, 76 nt
Filed under: Hyphomonas sp.
Lineage: Bacteria; Pseudomonadati; Pseudomonadota; Alphaproteobacteria; Hyphomonadales; Hyphomonadaceae
Description: tRNA-Thr
Rfam family: tRNA
About the family: Transfer RNA (tRNA) molecules are approximately 80 nucleotides in length. Their secondary structure includes four short double-helical elements and three loops (D, anti-codon, and T loops).
Source: RNAcentral
GCCGGCUUAGCUCAGCUGGUAGAGCAUCUGAUUUGUAAUCAGAAUGUCGUUGGUUCGAUUCCAAUCAGCAGCUCCA